GUACUUGGCAGCAUAUAUACUAAAACUGGAAUGACAGAGAAGGCUAGCACGGCUUCUGUUUAAAGAUGACACAUAAAUUUGUGAAGAAUUCCAUAUUUAU
This 100-nucleotide small nuclear RNA is filed under the name Microtus ochrogaster (prairie vole). Lineage: Eukaryota; Metazoa; Chordata; Mammalia; Rodentia; Cricetidae. The record is from RNAcentral.